AUUGAACGCUGGCGGCAUGCUUUACACAUGCAAGUCGAACGGUAACAGGCCUUCGGGUGCUGACGAGUGGCGCACGGGUGAGUAAUGCAUCGGAACGUGCCCAGAGGUGGGGGAUAACGCAGCGAAAGCUGUGCUAAUACCGCAUGUGAUCUGAGGAUGAAAGCGGGGGACCAGGCAGCAAUGUUUGGCCUCGCGCCUUUGGAGCGGCCGAUGUCAGAUUGGGUAGUUGGUGGGGUAAAGGCCUACCAAGCCGACGAUCUGUAGCUGGUCUGAGAGGACGACCAGCCACACUGAGACGGAGACACGGCCCAGACUCCUACGGGAGGCAGCAGGGGGGAAUUUUGGACAAUGGGCGCAAGCCUGAUCCAGCAAUGCCGCGUGCGGGAAGAAGGCCUUCGGGUUGUAAACCGCUUUUGUACGGAACGAAAAGGCUCUGGCUAAUACCUGGGGCUGAUGACGGUACCGUAAGAAUAAGCACCGGCUAACUACGUG
Molecule: ribosomal RNA, 492 nt
Filed under: uncultured bacterium
Lineage: Bacteria
Description: partial 16S ribosomal RNA
Rfam family: Bacterial small subunit ribosomal RNA
Source: RNAcentral